AAUGAACGCUGGCGGCGUGCCUAACACAUGCAAGUCGUGCGCGAAAGCGGCUUCGGCCGCGUGUAGAGCGGCGAACGGGUGAGUAACACGUGGACAACCUGCCCAAGAGUGGGGGAUAACCUGGGGAAACUCGGGCUAAUACCGCAUACGUUUCCGGGGUUUCGACUCCGGAAGGAAAGAUGGCCUCUACUUGUAAGCCAUCGCUCCUGGAGGGGUCCGCGGCUGAUUAGCUAGAAAGGCCCCUUCGGGGGCCGAGUAGAGUGGCGCACGGGUGAGUAACACGUAGGUAAUCUACCUCUGGGUGGGGAAUAACGACCGGAAACGGUCGCUAAUACCGCAUAAUGCAGCGGCACCACAUGGUGACAGUUGUUAAAGCGGGGGAUCGUAAGACCUCGCGCCUAGAGAUGAGCCUGCGGCGGAUUAGCUAGUUGGCAGGGUAACGGCCUACCAAGGCGACGAUCCGUAGCCGGCCUGAGAGGGCGGACGGCCACACUGGCACUGACAUACGGGCCAGACUCCUACGGGAGGCAGCAGUCGGGAAUUUUGGGCAAUGGGCGAAAGCCUGACCCAGCAACGCCGCGUGAAGGAUGAAGCUUUUCGGAGUGUAAACUUCAUAAGAAUGGGACGAAUAAGGAGGGGUUAACACCCCCUUUGAUGACGGUACCAUUUGUAAGCUCCGGCUAACUCCGUGCCAGCAGCCGCGGUAAUACGGGGGGAGCAAGCGUUGUUCGGAUUUACUGGGCGUAAAGGGCGCGUAGGCGGCGCAACAAGUCACUUGUGAAAUCUCCGGGCUUAACCCGGAGCGGCCAAGUGAUACUGUCGUGCUAGAGUGCGGAAGGGGCUACUGGAAUUCUCGGUGUAGCGGUGAAAUGCGUAGAUAUCGAGAGGAACACCUGCGGCGAAGGCGGGUAGCUGGGCCGACACUGACGCUGAGGCGCGAAAGCCAGGGGAGCGAACGGGAUUAGAUACCCCGGUAGUCCUGGCCUUAAACGAUGGAUGCUUGGUGUCCGGGGUUACAUAGUCCCCGGGUGCCGGCGCUAACGCAUUAAGCAUCCCGCCUGGGGAGUACGGUCGCAAGACUGAAACUCAAAGGAAUUGACGGGGACCCGCACAAGCGGUGGAGCAUGUGGUUUAA
This 1135-nucleotide ribosomal RNA is filed under the name uncultured Bacillota bacterium. RNAcentral describes it as "bacterial SSU rRNA". It matches the Rfam family "Bacterial small subunit ribosomal RNA", at positions 28 to 949 of the family's 1533-position model. Lineage: Bacteria; Bacillati; Bacillota. The record is from RNAcentral.